CACGUAGGCGGCUCAUCAAGCGUCUUGUGAAAUUCCCCGGCUCAACCGGGGAAUUGCUGGGCGAACUGAUGGGCUUGAGACAGGCAGGGGCGAGUGGAACUCUUGGUGGAGCGGUGGAAUGCGUAGAUAUCAAGAGGAACACCGGUGGCGAAGGCGGCUUUCUGGACAGUAACUGACGCUGAGACGCGAAAGCGUGGGGAGCAAACAGGAUUAGAUACCCUGGUAGUCC
This 229-nucleotide ribosomal RNA is filed under the name uncultured bacterium. RNAcentral's name for it is "partial 16S ribosomal RNA". It matches the Rfam family "Bacterial small subunit ribosomal RNA", at positions 568 to 796 of the family's 1533-position model. The record is from RNAcentral.